RNAcentral lists this ribosomal RNA (800 nucleotides) under uncultured bacterium. RNAcentral's name for it is "bacterial SSU rRNA". It matches the Rfam family "Bacterial small subunit ribosomal RNA", at positions 8 to 802 of the family's 1533-position model. The record is from RNAcentral.
AGAGUUUGAUCAUGGCUCAGAUUGAACGCUGGCGGCAGGCCUAACACAUGCAAGUCGAACGGUAACAGAAAGCAGCUUGCUGCUUUGCUGACGAGUGGCGGACGGGUGAGUAAUGUCUGGGAAACUGCCUGAUGGAGGGGGAUAACUACUGGAAACGGUAGCUAAUACCGCAUAACGUCGCAAGACCAAAGAGGGGGACCUUCGGGCCUCUUGCCAUCGGAUGUGCCCAGAUGGGAUUAGCUAGUAGGUGGGGUAAAGGCUCACCUAGGCGACGAUCCCUAGCUGGUCUGAGAGGAUGACCAGCCACACUGGAACUGAGACACGGUCCAGACCCCUACGGGAGGCAGCAGUGGGGAAUAUUGCACAAUGGGCGCAAGCCUGAUGCAGCCAUGCCGCGUGUAUGAAGAAGGCCUUCGGGUUGUAAAGUACUUUCAGCGGGGAGGAAGGGAGUAAAGUUAAUACCUUUGCUCAUUGACGUUACCCGCAGAAGAAGCACCGGCUAACUCCGUGCCAGCAGCCGCGGUAAUACGGAGGGUGCAAGCGUUAAUCGGAAUUACUGGGCGUAAAGCGCACGCAGGCGGUUUGUUAAGUCAGAUGUGAAAUCCCCGGGCUCAACCUGGAACUGCAUCUGAUACUGGCAAGCUUGAGUCUCGUAGAGGGGGGUAGAAUUCCAGGUGUAGCGGUGAAAUGCGUAGAGAUCUGGAGGAGUACCGUGGCGAAGGCGGCCCCUGGACGAAGACUGACGCUCAGGUGCGAAAGCGUGGGGAGCAAACGGGAUUAGAUACCCUGUAGUCACGCGU